GGAAUAUUGCGCAAUGAGCGAAAGCUUGACGCAGCGACACCGCGUGUGGGAUGACGGUUCUAGGAUUGUAAACCACUUUCAGGAGGGAAGAAAAUGACGGUACCUCCACAAGAAGACCCGGCCAACUACGUGCCAGCAGCCGCGGUAAUACGUAGGGGUCAAGCGUUGUCCGGAUUUAUUGGGCGUAAAGAGCUCGUAGGCGGUUCAACAAGUCGGUCGUAAAAGUUUAGGGCUCAACCCUAAAAUGUCGAUCGAUACUGUUGUGACUAGGAUACGGUAGAGGUGAAUGGAAUUCCGAGUGUAGCGGUGAAAUGCGUAGAUAUUCGGAGGAACACCAAUUGCGAAGGCAG
Molecule: ribosomal RNA, 350 nt
Filed under: uncultured bacterium
Lineage: Bacteria
Description: bacterial SSU rRNA
Rfam family: Bacterial small subunit ribosomal RNA
Source: RNAcentral